AGAGCUAACCCCAACUGGUUUUUUGCUCUCAUUUCUCUGGGUGACUGUCCCCACCCCUCUUUUCAUCGUGCUCACACUAGAUUGAGUGGACGCCUCAGAGAUAAGGACAGACAUUUCUGAAGAAGCCUUUUAUUAGCUAAACGUGUGGCAGCGCUUCUGUGGUGGAGGAGUGUAGAAUGGCACGUUCCAGAGCGCAGCAAGAAUGAAUGAAGGCAAAGCCUCUGUUGGGCCUGGCUUUCCUUUCCUGGGUGCCUGACAGGGCAUAUCAAGUGCAGGGUGUGACCCGCCAACGGGGCCUUUGCAUGGCACCGCCAACCUCAGCAAGGAUUCAAAGGCAGCUCUGGAGCAUGGCUAAAAGGCAGCGUCUGGGUGGUCACAGUCCAGGACCGGAACUUUUCCAGCGCAUCUGUCCUUACUCAGCUGGCCAAGUUACUGCCUAUUGAUGAAAGAGCAAGAUUCCCCUCUAGCGGUCAUUCUCAUUAUUGCUGGGAGGAAAAAAGCUGAGACAUCUGUGGGGGAAAAAUCUCUCACAUCCAUGUGCAAAAAAAUCACACACACACAGUAAAAAAAAUCCUAAAACUAAUCAUAAAUUCCCUCAAAUGUGUUUCAAUUUAAAAAAAUAUCGAACUACUAGAUAUUUCCUGAACUGCCCUUUAACAAAAUUCACUGGCUCUAUCCCCUCCAUCCAAAAAUCUGCUGCAGGAACAAAAGUUUCAAUAUUCACUAAAAAGCAAACCUGAGUCCUUUAAGGAUUGAGUUUUUAAUGCGAUUACAACAAAACUGCUGGGAGAGAAAAAGGAAAGAGGAGUUUAACUAAAUCUAUGCCCAUGGGUUCUUCCGUGCUUUUGUAAACAUGUCUCUGGGUUUUUCCUUUUCCCCUUUUCACAUGAGCCAGCUUUGAUGUAGCACUUCCUGUAAUCCUGUUUGCCUCCUUAACAACUAUUAUUGUCAUAAAUUUUUUAAGUCUUCUGAUUUACCGCUCCAUGCAAAUGGAAACAUGAAUAAAUGCUUAUCUUUCAUAAGAGGAGAAUGAAAU
RNAcentral lists this long non-coding RNA (1036 nucleotides) under Chrysemys picta bellii (western painted turtle). Its description in RNAcentral is "lncRNA (ENSCPBG00000024877.1)". The record is from RNAcentral. Lineage: Eukaryota; Metazoa; Chordata; Testudines; Emydidae.